UGGGGAUAUUGGUCAAUGGGGGCAACCCUGAACCAGCGACGCCGCGUGAGGGAAGAAGGUCUUCGGAUUGUAAACCUCUGUCUUCGGUGACGAUAAUGACGGUAGCCGAGGAGGAAGCCACGGCUAACUACGUGCCAGCAGCCGCGGUAAUACGUAGGUGGCAAGCGUUGUCCGGAUUUACUGGGUGUAAAGGGCGUGCAGCCGGGUCUGCAAGUCAGAUGUGAAAUCCGUGGGCUCAACCCACGAACUGCAUUUGAAACUGUGGAUCUUGAGUAUCGGAGAGGUAAUCGGAAUUCCUUGUGUAGCGGUGAAAUGCGUAGAUAUAAGGAAGAACACCAGUGGCGAAGGCGGAUUACUGGACGACAACUGACGGUGAGGCGCGAAAGCGUGGGGAGCAAGCAGGAUUAGAUACCCUGGUAGU
Molecule: ribosomal RNA, 421 nt
Filed under: uncultured Oscillibacter sp.
Lineage: Bacteria; Bacillati; Bacillota; Clostridia; Eubacteriales; Oscillospiraceae
Description: bacterial SSU rRNA
Rfam family: Bacterial small subunit ribosomal RNA
Source: RNAcentral